UGCCAGGGACUGCGGGGUUGGGGCGAUCCAGCGGAGGGCGGAACAGAAACCCCUGCCCCAGGAGCCCAAGUCCCAGGGGUGCACAGGACCCACUGAGAAGGUGACCUCUGGGCAGAGGCCUCAAGCAGCUGAGGGACGGCUGGGCCAGAUGGCCACCAGGUGAAGAGCCUUCUGGGCAGGACAAUCCGGGUCAGAAUUAUGAAGUGGGAACGAGGAAAGACUAGCUGGGAGAAGUUAAGAGCGUGCCCAGGGCUACACUGUGAGAUGGGGCCCAGCUUCCUGCUGGGGCAGGAGAGGCCAGUGGGGGCUGAGUGGGGGCGGGGCAGGAUGUUGUUCCAGCACCGGCUGCUGUGAGGCAAGGUGAGGCAAGGCUGGGCAGGAAGGGCUCCCAGCCACCACUGGGUGACUGUGCAGUUUCCUUUGCCAGGCUCUGAGACAAGGGGCCUUAUGGCUCAGAGGGAAAAGGCCCCAGUCAAGGAUUUCCUGUAAGUAGAGAGCCAAGGUGACCCGGGAGGUCACAUCUCCGCAACUGGACCUGUGGGGAAUGGAGUCAGGGUUCCGGCACAUUCUCUAGUUGCCCUGCCCUUGGUGUGAACCUGAAGUAACACCCCUUUCUCGCCCUUCUCCUCUCCCUUUCCCAGGAGCUCCUGCAGGAAAUCUCCUGGGUCCUUUCCUGGGCUGGUGUGUGUUUGGCAACAGAGCUGAGCCGGCUUCAGAAUAAGAGGGGAAGGCGGCCAUGACCGGAGAAAGGACUUGGAACCCAGGCCCUGACCCCGAGAAAUCGAGAUGUUGCCCAAGGGGCCCUUUCCUGUCCUCCUUCCCCCUCCAACCCUGAGCUCCUCAGUGGGCGGCCCAGGAAGGAGAAAGCUUCAGCCGCCUGCCUGCUCGGGUGGGGUGGACCCAUCACCAGCCCCACCCAGGGAUUCAAGUUUCUCUGUUUACGACUGUUUUCCUGGAACAGCUUGUUUUGAUCCAGAGAAAUCUGCUGACGCACUGCCUGCUCUCCUCCCUCUGGGCGGAGGACAUUCCUUUCCCAAACAAAACCGGCUGUGUGGAACCGCAGGCCCGGAGAGCUUCUACACGAGGAUCCUCUGAAAGUGCCAUUUCGUCCUUGAAAAUAAAGCGGGUGGACAGAGCAGCUCCAGACACGAGGGCACAAAGAACGGCCUUAGGUCCUUUUGCCAAGGCGAAUCCUAAGCCUCGUAGAACCCUAAUGCUUUGUGUUGCUAAUUCCACCUACUCCUGCCUUUCUGAAAAAUAAAAUCUAAAGACGUUUGUUUCUGGGAUUUGGGAAUCUGUGUGAAUGAGGGCGAUUCUUAGACAAGAGGUGGAGAAAAGCAAGCUAAGAUUUCAGGCUGGGCCCAGGAAGCAACGACACAGCGGUGACUACCACCUCUCAGGCACCUUGUAGAUAAAUAAAGGGCUGACCCCACAGCCUGGUACUGUGACGCGGCAGGAAAGGAAUCUGCUUGGUAUUAUUCACACUGUAGAGCUUUCUAAAACAUUCUGACUGGCAAUUCUCUCUUCCCACACUGUUCUCUCAGGCCGAGUCUCUCCAAUCGACCCCUGGAAAUGUUGCCAGGACAAGACUGCGGGGGCAGAUCUCGACGAAAAGUGAGAGGCCAGAAUCUUUCCCGGACAGAGGAGCUCGGCUAAGCAGCCGUUGGGGAACAAGCCUGGGCUUGCCACAAACUCAGUCAUCAAUGCUGACGGUCACAUGAGAGUCAUGAGUUUUGCAAGAACCACAAGGAGGGACCCAUCUGCAGAUGCCAUCUCACUGAGGCUGGGGAAGAAAUCUUCCCCAGUUUCCUCCCAGUUGCCAAAGGAGCCUGUCGUCAGGCAAUGUUUUGUUUGGGGCGCGGGUGGUUACCCUGGGAGGAGGUUUUCCGGCAGAGAGUUGGUCUAAGGAGCCGUCCUCGCUUGUGGUUAACCUGACCACACAGUCCUCCUUCCACUCUAUAUACUUCAGGGAGCAAGGUCUGAACGGAGGGUACAGGGGGUCUCGAGCUGUGAUUCUCCCUCGCCCUGGCAACGAGAUACCACCCGUCCCUUGCAAAAGCCUGACCCAGCGCUCAGGCCUGGGUCCGCCGGGCCUUGGCAGAGGGGAUCGUUAAGUCCAGGGGGUUCUUUUGCCUCUGCUCUAGAAGACCCACGUCGGAGGCCUGCUCUAUGUGGGCAGCCAGCAGGCGGUGACCCCAAGCCAUCAAACAGGCUCCCUGGGCCCCAUCACAGGCUGUAAACUACCCUGGAUAAAUGCAGUUUUUUCCCCAAAGUCUCCCUUCUUCCCCGCUUCCCAAUCCAGAAGUAAAACGGGUUGAAUUACAUGUAUCCUUUUGGUUUUACAGCCACGCAGUUGUAUACUGUUUUCUGCACUGACAAGAUUUUGAUUUCAUCAUUUGGCAAUUACUGAUUUCCCCUUAAUGCAUUAUGAAAAAUCAUUCAGUAGCCUAUCCCAGGCGUGGUUUUCUUACGGAACACCUCAAACCGUCAGGCCCCUGGGGACAAAAUAACAAAAUAACAAAGAUUUUCACGCAGGAACAUCGCGGGGGCAUUAACGUUUUAAUCAACUUGCCCCCCAACCAUUCCUAACACAACAACCCCACGGCGGGGUUUCUCAACCAGAGAAGCUACAGGCGCAGCUCCGCGUGCGCUUCUGCGAGGGACGGCUGGUCGCCAACAGGCGGGCAGCCCCCGCACCCCUUAGAAAUG
Lynx canadensis (Canada lynx) is the source of this 2709-nucleotide long non-coding RNA. Lineage: Eukaryota; Metazoa; Chordata; Mammalia; Carnivora; Felidae. The record is from Ensembl.